Non-coding RNA from Misgurnus anguillicaudatus (oriental weatherfish), 422 nucleotides. Lineage: Eukaryota; Metazoa; Chordata; Actinopteri; Cypriniformes; Cobitidae. The record is from the annotation of a RefSeq genome assembly.
GUUUAUUCUACACACCUCUUUAGGAACUACAUUAACAUGACAUUUAUACUGUACCUGUUUUAUUUCACACUACUUCCAUUCUGGAUCCUAGGACAGUCACUAAGUGACAACAUCCGUCAGACUCCAAAGGAUUUGAUCGUUCAAUCUCAAGAAGUGUCUGUGACACUUAACUGCUCUCACAGCAUUUCAGACUAUUACAUGAUAUUAUGGUAUCAGCAGCUGAAGGGUGAUACUGCUUUAAAUCUCAUAGGACAUGUCCUUUACAAAAAUCCAUCUGUUGAAAGUCAAUACAACAAUCAGUACACCAUUGCAGGAGAUGGUGAAGAUUCCUCAACUCUUAAAGCCAAGCUGAAUAAAAUAGAAACCUCAAUACUGUAUUUCUGUGCAGCCAGCAAAGCACAGUGUUAGACACCAUCAGUCUC